UGGGGAAUCUUGCACAAUGGGGGCAACCCUGAUGCAGCGACGCCGCGUGAGCGAUGAAGCCCUUCGGGGUGUAAAGCUCUUUCGGCAGGAACGAUAAUGACGGUACCUGAAGAAGAAGCUGCGGCUAACUACGUGCCAGCAGCCGCGGUAAUACGUAGGCAGCGAGCGUUGUUCGGAGUUACUGGGCGUAAAGCGUGCGUAGGCGGUCUUGUAAGUCUGGUGUGAAAUCUCCCGGCUCAACUGGGAGGGUGCGCCGGAAACUGCAAGGCUGGAGUAUGGGAGAGGUAGGCGGAAUUCCUGGUGUAGCGGUGAAAUGCGUAGAUAUCAGGAGGAACACCUGUGGUGUAGACGGCUUACUGGACCAUGACUGACGCUGAGGCACGAAAGCGUGGGGAGCAAA
This 400-nucleotide ribosomal RNA is filed under the name uncultured bacterium. Its description in RNAcentral is "bacterial SSU rRNA". It matches the Rfam family "Bacterial small subunit ribosomal RNA", at positions 355 to 772 of the family's 1533-position model. The record is from RNAcentral.